AUUGAACGCUGGCGGAAUGCUUUACACAUGCGAGUCGAACGGCAGCACGGGGGCAGCCCUGGUGGCGAGUGGCGAACGGGUGAGUAAUACAUCGGAACGUGCCCGGUCGUGGGGGAUAACGUAGCGAAAGUUACGCUAAUACCGCAUACGAUCUGAGGAUGAAAGCGGGGGACCUUCGGGCCUCGCGCGAUCGGAGCGGCCGAUGUCAGAUUAGGUAGUUGGUGGGGUAAAGGCCUACCAAGCCGACGAUCUGUAGCUGGUCUGAGAGGACGACCAGCCACACUGGGACUGAGACACGGCCCAGACUCCUACGGGAGGCAGCAGUGGGGAAUUUUGGACAAUGGGCGCAAGCCUGAUCCAGCCAUUCCGCGUGCAGGACGAAGGCCUUCGGGUUGUAAACUGCUUUUGUACGGAACGAAAAGGCUCUGGCUAAUACCUGGGGCUCAUGACGGUGCCGUAAGAAUAAGCACCGGCUAACUACGUG
Molecule: ribosomal RNA, 484 nt
Filed under: uncultured bacterium
Lineage: Bacteria
Description: partial 16S ribosomal RNA
Rfam family: Bacterial small subunit ribosomal RNA
Source: RNAcentral